AAGAUACAUAUGUGCCCAAAGUGAGAGAUGUAGCCCAUGGAAGUAUAAAGGGCUGCCACCUCAUUAAAGUAUAAAUCUCUUAUAAAGUCCAAGGAUUUGGAUGUCAUCUUCAAAGGAAGAGGUCUCACGGACUCCUCUGGUUCUGAUCAAGAAACUCACUUUACAAUUUAAGAAGAAAAUGGGCUGAUGUUUAUGGUGUUUAUGGUUCAGGUGUUUCUCCAUGUAUCCUGGCAGAAGCAGGCAGCCUUAAGCAGUCCAUAGGUUACAGGAUAUAAAGACGGAAGCCAGCUGGAACUAGAGAAAGAACAUCACCGAGAGAGAUCCUGGAUGGGAAGCUGGAUGCGCUGAUGAGACCUUGCGGUGUCUCCUUUUUGGACUGAGGGAGUGUCCCGUAAGAAGCGAUUUAAUGAAAAAGAAACCGUCUUGGAAUUUUCCGCAGCCCAUGAUUUGAGAUAACUGGCGUUGUAACCAACAGCCUGUCUGGAUCAAGAAUGGACGCCUGCAGGCGACAGCUCCCUCCACAAACCUUCUUCUGAUUUCUCCAGUAGAACGACAUAGAUAGCACCUCGCUACGUCCCGUACAGAUUGCACUAAAGAACUCAAGCUGUUCACCAACUGUUCUGCCUUUCAGACGAACAACAGAGGAUGCGAGGAUUGCGACCAUGUAAUAGGAGAAUGUUGGACAAAAAGUGAUUAAAAAGCAAGAUCUCAAGUUACUCCUGCCACUGAGGCAUUUAGUACUGUUGCACAGGAAAUGCCAGAGCGUUGUGCAAAUGGAGGAGCCAUUUUCAGUUCUCACCUCAAGCUGGAAGGGACUUCUCUGGCCAGAGGGCCUUUAAAACCCCUUUUUGUCACCGCAGUCUGUAAUGAAUACAGCCACUAGAAGAGAAGCCACUAGAACCACAGAGCCCAUCUCUAACCUCGGGUUAGAGAUUCGGAGUGCCAGCCCCCUCAGCUGUUCCCAGACUCAGCAUGCAAACACUGUCCCUUCAGCGUGUGCGGAAAACGACGUUUAGUAAUCAGAUCCUGUAGAAAGAGGCAGACCUCCCAGUGCAGGGCACACUGUGAGAUGGGGAGUCGUGCGCUGCCUACAGAGAAUUAGACCCAACCUGCCCCUCUGCUUUAGGGCCAUCACCAGAAUCAUCUGAAGCGGAGCGGGAGCUGGGGAUCAGAACCCACCAUGGGUUGCUACGCAGUGUGUGCUAUUGCCUCCCCUUCAGU
Long non-coding RNA from Equus quagga, 1221 nucleotides. RefSeq lists it as uncharacterized. NCBI's taxonomy places the organism in Eukaryota, Metazoa, Chordata, Mammalia, Perissodactyla, Equidae. The transcript is spliced from 4 exons. The record is from RefSeq and is a predicted model, not a curated record.